AGAGCGAACGCUGGCGGCAGGCUUAACACAUGCAAGUCGAACGCUCGUAGCAAUACGGGAGUGGCAGACGGGUGAGUAACACGUGGGAACAUCCCCCUCGGUUCGGAAUAACUCAGGGAAACUUGAGCUAAUACCGGAUACGUCCGAGAGGAGAAAGAUUUAUCGCCGAGGGAUUGGCCCGCGUCUGAUUAGCUAGUUGGUGAGGUAACGGCCCACCAAGGCGACGAUCAGUAGCUGGUCUGAGAGGAUGACCAGCCACACUGGGACUGAGACACGGCCCAGACUCCUACGGGAGGCAGCAGUGGGGAAUCUUGGACAAUGGGCGCAAGCCUGAUCCAGCCAUGCCGCGUGAGUGAUGAAGGCCUUAGGGUUGUAAAGCUCUUUCGACGGGGACGAUAAUGACGGUACCCGUAGAAGAAGCCCGGCUAACUUCGCGCCAGCAGCCGC
This 447-nucleotide ribosomal RNA is filed under the name uncultured bacterium. Its description in RNAcentral is "SSU rRNA". It matches the Rfam family "Bacterial small subunit ribosomal RNA", at positions 26 to 518 of the family's 1533-position model. The record is from RNAcentral.